Long non-coding RNA from Lynx canadensis (Canada lynx), 5172 nucleotides. The record is from Ensembl. Lineage: Eukaryota; Metazoa; Chordata; Mammalia; Carnivora; Felidae.
UCGCCCCUCCCCCUUCCGGCCCCGCCACAGACAGCGCGCAGACUCACCGGCGUCUGUGGUCAGCGGCCGGGGCACCACCUCCUGAGCUGCUGCGGGGGUAGGCGCCACCUUGCUGAUGCGCAUCUCCACCCCCCGGGGCCCCUGCUCUGACAGGCUGAUGUCCACGCCGAUGCCCAUGGUGCCAAACAUCUCUCGGAAGCAGGUGGCCGCACGGUGGGCCUCGGCAAGCGCCUCGAAGCGAAUGUAGACAAAGUGCUCUUCUUCGCGGUACGUCCGCCAGUCCCCCGGCUCCUCCGGCUCCGCCGGGCCCUCGUCUGCGCUCAGGAAGAGCUCUUCGUCCGAUACUUCGGCCGGGCCCUUGGUGCGGAACAGGCGGUGCAGCCGCCGGGCUGCUCGGCGGAAGGCGUCAUCCAGCUCGCCCCCCGAGGAGCUCUCCGCCUCGCUCUCCGUCCCGCUGACUACCACACAGGCGCUGUGGGCCACGUGGCCGAACUUGCUGCUCACCUGGCAGGUGUAGCGGCCAGCGUCUGCACGGCCCAGGCCCGUCACCAGCAGACAGCAAGUGCCGUCCCCAAGCUGGUCGAUGUGGUGGUGCCGGCCGUCAGUCAGCUCCACGCCGUCCUUCAGCCAGCGAGCACGCACAUCCGCCUUGCUGGACACCACACACUCCAGACGCAGGACAUCUCCCACCUGUGCCUCAGUGUCCCCAAACGUGCGGGAGAACACGGGUCCUUCCUGCUGCUUCAUCUCUUUGCGGACCUUGUAGCCUUUGAAGGCAGCCUGGAUCUUCACCGCUGCCUUGUCCAUGGACGGGUCACCCAGGUCUUCAGCCCUCAGGCUUCCCGGGGGUGGGUGAACUGCAGGUGGCUGUUCCUGAUGCUUCGGUGGCUUCCCAACUGCAGGGAUCCCAAGCUGUGUGCACAGACCUCAGUCUUCUUUGGUGUGAGAGGGGCUCCCCAAGAGGAUCAAGGAGCUGAUGAAGAGGAGGGGCUGGCUUACCCCCACCCACCCCGCCCCACCCCACCCCACCCCCACCUUAGCUGGGUCCCAAGGACACACCCUGGAAGGAGGCAGCUGCAGAGGAGGCCGGGUCUCGGGUGAGGCCACAGCGGUACUCCCCCUGGUCCUCCGCUGAGAAGCCCCGGAUCACCAGCGUCCGCCGCUGACCCUGGCAGAGAACCUGGAAGCGCCCACUGGGUUGGAUGACCUCCGCCCCCUUCAGCCACACCACCUCGCCCGCCUCGGCCACCUCACACUCCAGACACACGUCCUCGCCGGCAGCCACCUGCCGGCUCUCGGGAGCGGGAGGUGUGGGAGCUGGGUGCGCAGGAACCGGGGCCACAGGCACGGGGACUGAAGACACGGGGGUGGGGACCGCAGGCACGGGGGCGCUGGCCGCAGGCACUGGCUCCAGGGCCUCUGCCAGAAACAAAGCCACUUCAGAAAGGACGCACUGGGGCUCUCCAGCUUGGGGAGGUCUGGAGCGCUCCAGGCGGGACUACCACCACCCACCUUAGGAAGGGCAACCACUCACCGAGCUUCACUGUCUGCGGCAGGUGCACGGGCUCCCCAGCCCCUGCUGGGCCCACUGCUGCCACGCGGAAGCGGUAGGUCUCCCCGGGGGCCAGGCCGUCCACCACGCACUCAGGCCCAGGCACCAGCUCAUGGCACAGCUGCCACUCGCCUGUGGCCGCCGCCUUCAUCUCCACCCUAUAGCCGCAGAGACCGCCGCCACCGUCGCUUGCAGGCGCCACCCAGGACAGCGUUACCGAACGGCCGCUGCGCGCCACCACCUCUGCGUCCUCUGGAGGGUCUGGGAGGCCUGCGGGGACGGAGCUGGUCAGUGGAGGCUCCCGGUCCGCGCCCGCGGGUGCCCAGCCUUGCCUGCCUGGUUUCUGAUCCUGGGGUGAGAAGUGGGCGCUGGCCCGUGAGCCCCUGUACUUGGUGGCCCCGACCGUCUGAGAGCGCAAAGGUCGUGCACUUCAGAGCCAGGGAGACAGUGUACCCUGAGCCUACCUGGAUGGCAGCCUCUGGGGCUGGAACAGCAGAACCCUGGUCGCAACCUGCCUGCCCGCAGGCGGCCCAAACCACCCACCUAGCACGGUGAGCCGCGCGGAGGCCACAGCGUCGCGGGCGGCGAAGGUGACCUCGCCAGCGUGCUGUGGCUGGGCACUGCGCAGCUGCAGGGUGUGGUGGCUGCCGUCGGCGGUGACCGUCCAGUUGCGGUCGUCCGGCUGCACGGCGGCCCCGUUGAUGUACCACGUCGCCUCGCCCACCGGCACCGCCUCACUGAGCGUGCAGCUGAAGCGGACCUGCCCACCGGCUCGCACGGCCGCGUCCUGCGGGGACUCCAGUACCUCCAGGCGCCAGCCUGCGGGGGCCGGGGUAUGCGGUGAGCGCGCCGGCCUGGAGGCAGGUCUGGGAAAUCUCCCGGCCACCGGGUCCCGCCAGCCCCGCCCCCCUGCUCCUGGCAGAGAAGGAAGCCCGGCAUCUGGCAGGAGGGGUCUCAAAAGACCGACGCCCCCCCCCUCCACCAACGUCCUCAGCCCCCAGCCCUGUACCUCUACAGCGGAGGAUGCAGUGGGAGGGGUCUCAGAGACCCCACACACCUGCUGAGCGGCAGCCGGUGGGAGGGGUCUCCAGAUACACGCCCCCCCCCCCGUGAGGCCUCAGCCCCGCCCCGCACCCCUAACCUCUGACUGUGAGGAACGCGGACGUCACCACGUCCCCUGCCAGGAAGGUCACCCGGCAGCUGUCCUGCGGCCGCAGGUUUUUGAGCAGCAGCAGGUGCCGCAGGCCGUUCUCGAAGUAGACCACCUCCGCGUUCUCGGAGGUUCGCACAGGCUCAUCGUCCAGCAACCAGGUGUGGGCGGCCACCUCGGGGCGGGACAGCUGGCACUCGAACAGCGCCUCGCCGCCUUCGAGUGCGUCCACGUUCUCCAGGCCACGCACCACUGUGUUCUUGGCUGCGGGGAAGGCGGCGGCUCAGGGUGCGCUGGGGCCUCCUCUGCCCCAGGGCCCCCUGCAGAGUUAUGUGGAAGAGCCCACCCCCAUUAGAAGGGCUUAAGGGCUGACCAGCAUGUGGCCCAGUGGAGGGCAGUGCACGGUGUCCACAUGGGGCCACCACGGGGGCCUCUUGAGGCCCUGCCCACUCCCAUACCAUCACCACGCUGGUAGCUUGCCUUGGCUGGUGGCCAGGGAGGAGGUGCUUCUCCACACCAGACAGGUGAGAAGCCUCACAGGUAUUCCCAAAGCUGCCCAGCCCACAGCCAGGCUCAAACCCUGCCCCCAGCAAGAGUUAUAUGCCCCUGCCCAGGUUGCAGCGUGGGACUCUGAAAAUGGCCCCCUUUCUUCCCAAUCUUCAGCCAGCGCUAUCAGACAUGCUGGGCUGCUCCCCUCACCCACAGGGACCAGAGAGACCCCUGCCCUACUUCCCCACCCCUCUCCAGCUCUCUUGUUCGCAUAGUACACCAGACUUAAUAAGUGGAUGUGUGUUUGAUGUGUUAAGCCAUGAGCUCAGGACUGGGCUUGCCUGGCCCCAACAGCAGCCCAGGCUUACCACCUGCCACGGCCCAUUCCCAUGAUACACCACCUAUACAGCAAGUGAUGCCAGUGGGAAGUCUGAGCAACUUCCUGGAGGAGGAAGAAUCUCAGGCUGGGCAUGACUGAGCUGGGCAGGGCACAUGUGAGGCAGGAAAGGAGAACCAGGUGACCCAGGGCUGGUCUGGAUGCUGGGAAGGGUGUGACCUUGACCCACAUGACUUUAGGAAGCCGCUACAGAGCCUGACCUGGGCAAUGGGGGAUGGGGCAACCACAGCCCCAACUGCUCUCUGGGAUACAUACCCAACUAGAACCUAUUCACAGCCCUAGUGCUCAGUCCCAGCUUAUCCACAGAGUACACAUGCCCUGCAGGUAGGGGCAUCUGCUCUGGACACGAAGCCCCAGGGAGUGAAUGGGGCAGGGCAUCUCAGAGCAGACGCCCCCACAGGACCCACCCAUGUCCCUCUUCUGGCCACCGUCCCACUCCCGGGCUCCUCAUACCACAGACCAGACUUCCCCACAUCCCAGCUCCUUUCCUGCCCACAUCAAAAUCAACAGCACCAAUGGGGGUUAGACAUCCCAGAUGUCAAAGCAGCAGUGAGCCCCUGCCCUUUCUGCCUCUCUGGGCUCCACUGUACCCUACCCAUCCCAGAUGGUCCCAUGCCUCAGCUGCACCCCCGCCUCCCUCAGGUCUGGGCUCAAAGGGCAGCCCCUCCCCAUAGCUGCUGUCACGUCUAACUUCAGCUCCCAGAGGGACAGCCCCCUGGAGGGAGGGAUUGCUGUCUAUUCCGAGCUGUGCCUCCUGGAACCAGAAAAAGGUGCUUUAAAAACGUCACUGUUUACAGAACCAGGACCUGCUUGUCCUGGCUUGGAUGGCCCUCUCACUAAUGCCUCCAGAUCACUCCUCACUGGGCAGUGUUCUGAUCUUCCCAACCAGGAACUGGCAGCGGCCAAAUGAUGUCCCUCCCCUGGGGGCUGCAGUCAACUGCCCCCCCACCCCUGGUCCCCCACACGGUAUCCUUGCUGUGUGCAGACAGGGACACAGGGCUCCAGUGCCCCACCUAAGAUCAGGGACUCAGGGCAUGCAGCCCAGUACCCCCCUCCUGUCCCAUCAGGCAGCUCCAGGAGGAGCGGAGGCCUGCCUGUUGGGGCCCUGUCUUUCCAGCACGGCCACAUAAUGCUGACUGUCACACCCGCCUCUGCACCAGGAAGGAUGGCCCCAACCACGCUGGAGCCGUGCAAGGCCUCACCUUGCACCUGCAGCAGGGCCACCACACGGGUGCCCGCAGCCUCACAAGAAUAGAUGCCACUGUCGCAGGGCAAGGCCGGCCUGAACGACAGCCUGGCCACGGUCCAGUCCUGCUCUAUGAUGACACGGCGCCCGUCAGCGCACACCUCCUGCUUGUCCAUCUUCCACGUGGCCUGCACAGGCCUUGAGUACUGGCAGAGGAGCUCGGCUGGGCCGCCCUCCUCCACGGCCAGGUCCUGCAUGGCACUGACCACCUCCACCGUGGGAUCUGUCGGCCGACACCCCGGUCAUGUGUCAGCUGGUGCAGCAUGGCUGCACCCCACCCACCCUCUGCUCUCAGCAGCUCAGCAGCAAGCAAGCGGUGUUGGGCGGGGGGGGGGGGG